GACGAACGCUGGCGGCGUGCUUAACACAUGCAAGUCGAACGGAAAGGCCCUGCUUUUGUGGGGUGCUCGAGUGGCGAACGGGUGAGUAACACGUGAGUAACCUGCCCUUGACUUUGGGAUAACUUCAGGAAACUGGGGCUAAUACCGGAUAGGAGCUCCUGCUGCAUGGUGGGGGUUGGAAAGUUUCGGCGGUUGGGGAUGGACUCGCGGCUUAUCAGCUUGUUGGUGGGGUAGUGGCUUACCAAGGCUUUGACGGGUAGCCGGCCUGAGAGGGUGACCGGCCACAUUGGGACUGAGAUACGACCCAGACUCCUACAGGAGGCAGCAGUGAAGAAUAUUACACAAUGGGCGGAAGCCUGAUGCAGCAACGCCGCGUGCGGGAUGACGGCCUUCGGGUUGUAAACCGCUUUCGCCUGUGACGAAGCGUGAGUGACGGUAAUGGGUAAAGAAGCACCGGCUAACUACGUG
RNAcentral lists this ribosomal RNA (468 nucleotides) under uncultured bacterium. RNAcentral's name for it is "partial 16S ribosomal RNA". It matches the Rfam family "Bacterial small subunit ribosomal RNA", at positions 28 to 507 of the family's 1533-position model. The record is from RNAcentral.